Molecule: ribosomal RNA, 305 nt
Filed under: uncultured bacterium
Lineage: Bacteria
Description: bacterial SSU rRNA
Rfam family: Bacterial small subunit ribosomal RNA
Source: RNAcentral
GAUGCCUACGGGACGCAGCAGUAGGGAAUAUUCUAAAAUGGGUGAAAGCCUGAUGGAGCAACGCCGCGUGGGUGAAGAAGGUCUUCGGAUCGUAAAACCCUGUUGUUAGAGAAGAAAGUGCGUGAGAGUAACUGUUCACGUUUCGACGGUAUCUAACCAGAAAGCCACGGCUAACUACGUGCCAGCAGCCGCGGUAAUACGUAGGUGGCAAGCGUUAUCCGGAUUUAUUGGGCGUAAAGGGAACGCAGGCGGUCUUUUAAGUCUGAUGUGAAAGCCUUCGGCUUAACCGGAGUAGUGCAUUGGAA